RNAcentral lists this ribosomal RNA (1416 nucleotides) under uncultured bacterium. Its description in RNAcentral is "bacterial SSU rRNA". It matches the Rfam family "Bacterial small subunit ribosomal RNA". The record is from RNAcentral.
GUACGCUGGCGGCACGCCUAAUACAUGCAAGUCGAACGAAGUAGCAAUACUUAGUGGCAGACGGGUGAGUAAUAUGUAGGUAUCUUCCCAUUGGUGAGGAAUAACACGAGGAAACUUGUGCUAAUACCUCAUAAGUCUUUACGGAGAAAGCUUUAUGCGCCGAUGGAUGAGCCUGCACUUGAUUAGUUUGUUGGUAGGGUAAUGGCCUACCAAGACAAUGAUCAAUAGCUGAUUUGAGAGGAUGAUCAGCCACAUUGGGACUGAGACACGGCCCAAACUCCUACGGGAGGCAGCAGUAGGGAAUCUUGCACAAUGGGGGAAACCCUGAUGCAGCGAUGCCGCGUGAGUGAAGAAGGCCUUUGGGUUGUAAAGCUCUUUCGUCGGGGAAGAAAAUGACUGUACCCGAAUAAGAAGGUCCGGCUAACUUCGUGCCAGCAGCCGCGGUAAUACGAAGGGACCUAGCGUAGUUCGGAAUUACUGGGCUUAAAGAGUUCGUAGGUGGUUAAAAAAGUUGGUGGUGAAAUCCCAGAGCUUAACUCUGGAACUGCCAUCAAAACUUUUUAGCUAGAGUAUGAUAGAGGAAAGCAGAAUUUCUAGUGUAGAGGUGAAAUUCGUAGAUAUUAGAAAGAAUACCGAUUGCGAAGGCAGCUUUCUGGAUCAUUACUGACACUGAGGAACGAAAGCAUGGGUAGCGAAGAGGAUUAGAUACCCUCGUAGUCCAUGCCGUAAACGAUGUGUGUUAGACGUUGGAAAUUUAUUUUCUGUGUCGCAGCGAAAGCAAUAAACACACCGCCUGGGGAGUACGACCGCAAGGUUAAAACUCAAAUGAAUUGACGGGGACCCGCACAAGUAGUGGAGCAUGUGGUUUAAUUCGAAGAUACGCGCAGAACCUUACCAACACUUGACAUGUUCGUCGCGACUUUAAGAGAUUAAAGUUUUCGGUUCGGCCGGACGAAACACAGGUGCUGCAUGGCUGUCGUCAGCUCGUGUCGUGAGAUGUUGGGUUAAGUCCCGCAACGAGCGCAACCCUCACUUUUAGUUGCCAUCAUUUAGUUGGGCACUCUGAAAGAACUGCCAGUGAUAAGCUGGAGGAAGGUGGGGAUGACGUCAAGUCCUCAUGGCCCUUACGUGUUGGGCUACACACGUGCUACAAUGGCAUUUACAAUAGGAAGCAAGACGGCGACGUUUAGCAAAUCCUAAAAAAAUGCCUCAGUUCGGAUUGUACUCUGCAACUCGAGUACAUGAAGCUGGAAUUACUAGUAAUCGCGGAUCAGCGCGCCGCGGUGAAUACGUUCCCGGGUCUUGUACACACCGCCCGUCACACCAUGGGAGUUGGUUCUACCUUAAGGCAAAGUUUAAUACCUUUGACCACGGUAUAGUCAGCGACUGGGGUGAAGUCAUAACAAGGUAGCCGUA